Schistocerca nitens (vagrant locust) is the source of this 858-nucleotide long non-coding RNA. RefSeq lists it as uncharacterized. The record is from RefSeq and is a predicted model, not a curated record. Lineage: Eukaryota; Metazoa; Arthropoda; Insecta; Orthoptera; Acrididae. The transcript has 3 exons.
GUGUAUAUUUCAAGAUCGCUGCAAGCUAUGCAUGAGGGUGCCGGGAUCGGUGACUGUGAGCGGUUUGAAGGCAUGCUUAGCGCUGAUGAACAGUUUGUAGGGAUGGUUAUCAGGUCUGACGAGGCGCAAUUCAAACUAAAUGGUACUGCAAACCACCACAGCUGCAUGUACUGGGUUCCUGAAAAUCCUCAAGUUGAUGCGGUCAAACGUGUUAGUCUGCCAGAUGUUAAUGUGUGGUGUGGUCUGUCAUCGCAUAGUUUGAUUGGUCAUUCUUCUUUGAAGGUACUAGAGCCAGUAAGAUGUACCUUCAUGUGCUACAACAUCAAUUUUACAUGCCAUCUGAGAGGUCUUUGGGAAUGAAAAAUUUUGCGUACAAAAUGAUGGCACUUCACUUCACUACCACAGAGAUGUCAGAGCCGACUUGGAUGAAAAUCUACCUGAAUGAUGGACGCCCUUUAGCAAAAAAAAAGAGGAAGGCAGUGGUUAUACCAAAAGUGUACGGAAUUUGGCUACUUCGUGACGACGGAUUCCAAAAAACAGCCAUUUGGCCACAGAAUUGACGUUUCCUACAGGGGGUUUCUGUAAAACACUGUGAAGAUCGUGGAGAGCAAAACACAUAAUCAGAAACAAUAAAGAUGCUGUCAGGACAAAAAAAGAUGUUGGGUACAACAACAGUGGUUUCUGGAAAGUAUGCUCCAAUGUUGUCACAGUGAUUGAGUAGUGUGCGACUGUGCAGUAGAUCUUACAAAUGGCUGUGUUACUGCUUACAUGCUGUGCAAAAACAGUGAGGUGUUAUUCAACAUUUGUGAUCAGAAAGGGUGCCACUCUUAUAAAAAUACAGUAGAACUUUCACUCUCA